GAUGAACGCUGGCGGCGUGCCUAAUACAUGCAAGUCGAGCGAACGGACGAGAAGCUUGCUUCUCUGAUGUUAGCGGCGGACGGGUGAGUAACACGUGGAUAACCUACCUAUAAGACUGGGAUAACUUCGGGAAACCGGAGCUAAUGCCGGAUAAUAUUUUGAACCGCAUGGUUCAAAAGUGAAAGACGGUCUUGCUGUCACUUAUAGAUGGAUCCGCGCUGCAUUAGCUAGUUGGUAAGGUAACGGCUUACCAAGGCAACGAUGCAUAGCCGACCUGAGAGGGUGAUCGGCCACACUGGAACUGAGGCACGGUCCAGACUCCUACGGGAGGCAGCAGUAGGGAAUCUUCCGCAAUGGGCGAAAGCCUGACGGAGCAACGCCGCGUGAGUGAUGAAGGUCUUCGGAUCGUAAAACUCUGUUAUUAGGGAAGAACAUAUGUGUAAGUAACUGUGCACAUCUUGACGGUACCUAAUCAGAAAGCCACGGCUAACUACGUG
RNAcentral lists this ribosomal RNA (497 nucleotides) under uncultured bacterium. RNAcentral's name for it is "partial 16S ribosomal RNA". It matches the Rfam family "Bacterial small subunit ribosomal RNA", at positions 28 to 507 of the family's 1533-position model. The record is from RNAcentral.